UACGUAGGGUGCAAGCGUUAUCCGGAAUUAUUGGGCGUAAAGAGCUCGUAGGCGGUUUGUCGCGUCUGCUGUGAAAACUGGGGGCUCAACCCCCAGCCUGCAGUGGGUACGGGCAGACUAGAGUGCGGUAGGGGAGAUUGGAAUUCCUGGUGUAGCGGUGGAAUGCGCAGAUAUCAGGAGGAACACCGAUGGCGAAGGCAGAGUCUCUGG
Molecule: ribosomal RNA, 210 nt
Filed under: uncultured bacterium
Lineage: Bacteria
Description: partial 16S ribosomal RNA
Rfam family: Bacterial small subunit ribosomal RNA
Source: RNAcentral